CUUUCUUUUCAAUAAUGAUUAGCUUUGUAUUGUUUGCUCUCCUUGGAUCAAUACAAUUUAUUUUCUAGUUUUCACUGAGGUGACGCUAUGCUAUACAGCAUUUGUUUGAAUUGUGAUGUAACCUAUGUUUGAGGGAAGAAAUCUGGAAAGGUGGCUAGCAAUUUUGUCCUAAACUCUACCUUGGAGCACCCAUACAACUGCACCUCUAUAUUAAGAGAGGUAUUUCAUUCUCAAUCUAUUCUCCUUUCUGCUUUUUCUAACACAAGAAUUGAGUCACCCAUUUGGUAAUCAAAUGAGAAGAUUAUUGGACACCAAGAAACAGGUAUGGGUGGAGCUUCUAAGGAACACAGAGUAAAGUCACUGCUUUCUGUGGGAAGGAAUCUUCAACCUGCCCAGGCAAGCGGCCAGCUGGCUUGUGGCCUUUAUUCACCCCCAACCCACCCCCUGCAAAACCCCGCCACUAAGUAAAGCCAGAAGCAAGUCCCUACCCAAAGCAGAAAGAGAUGAAGAAUGCCCUGAAGAUGAGGAGAAUGUGAAUGAUGGAAGUGAAUUGGUGGUUGCUCAGCUGCCAUGGAGAGAGUUUGGCUGUGAACAAGUUCCAAAACAGCUUCCAUGUCACAAAGGUGGGGAACAGGGUCUAAGAUACACUGGAAAUCAUGAUCCUUUUGACUGAGUAAACUCAGUUCUUCAAGAUACCCUCUGUGUCUCUUAAGCAGGUGCUUGAUGAGCAAUACAUAAUGAAGAACUGCGGGAACCAAUACCCCCAUAGAAUGGGGAUGAAAUAGUAUCUAGGCAUUUGGAGCUUAAGGAGAGCUUUGCACACUGUUAACAGCGAAAAAUACCAUCUUUUACCUCCUUGAGCAAAAGUUCUCAGAGUUUUGAAAGGAAUUAAUCUGAUAUUUCUACUUUAACCCCAAUAGAAGCCUAAAUCCUGAAAAGUCUCUGCAAAAAGUAUAUUUUGUUGACAGGUUAUUGUAUAGGGUAUAACCUCCUACAAAAA
RNAcentral lists this long non-coding RNA (1000 nucleotides) under Capra hircus (goat). RNAcentral's name for it is "lncRNA (ENSCHIG00010003467.1)". Lineage: Eukaryota; Metazoa; Chordata; Mammalia; Artiodactyla; Bovidae. The record is from RNAcentral.